Molecule: ribosomal RNA, 120 nt
Filed under: uncultured bacterium
Lineage: Bacteria
Description: partial 16S ribosomal RNA
Rfam family: Bacterial small subunit ribosomal RNA
Source: RNAcentral
AGUGAACGCUGGCGGCAGGCCUAACACAUGCAAGUCGAACGGCAGCACAGGAGAGCUUGCUCUCUGGGUGGCGAGUGGCGGACGGGUGAGGAUAACGUCGGAAUCUGCCUUUUUGUGGGG